Molecule: ribosomal RNA, 382 nt
Filed under: uncultured eukaryote
Lineage: Eukaryota
Description: partial 18S ribosomal RNA
Rfam family: Eukaryotic small subunit ribosomal RNA
Source: RNAcentral
UGUAAGCGUAUACCAAAGUUGUUGCAGUUAAAACGCUCGUAGUCGGAAUUUGGCAGUUCCGGAAGUGUGCACGUCGUGUGCGCACUUUGCGGGGACUGCUUUUGUGGUCUUGCGUAGGAUGAGGCACUUUCAUUAGUGAACGUCCUCACGCAACCACUCUUUACUGUGAGAAAAUCAGAGUGCUCAAAGCAGGCAUUUGCCGUGAAUGUAUUAGCAUGGAAUAAUAGAAUAGGACUCGAUUCUAUUUUGUUGGUUUGUUGGGACUGAGUAAUGAUUAAGAGGGACAGUUGGGGGCAUUUGUAUUCCGGCGCUAGAGGUGAAAUUCUUAGAUUGCCGGAAGACAAACUGCUGCGAAAGCGUCUGCCAAGGAUGUUUUCAUUGA